RNAcentral lists this ribosomal RNA (267 nucleotides) under Arixenia esau. Its description in RNAcentral is "partial 28S ribosomal RNA". It matches the Rfam family "Eukaryotic large subunit ribosomal RNA", at positions 1126 to 1373 of the family's 3401-position model. Lineage: Eukaryota; Metazoa; Arthropoda; Insecta; Dermaptera; Arixeniidae. The record is from RNAcentral.
GUGGGCCACUUUUGGUAAGCAGAACUGGCGCUGUGGGAUGAACCAAACGUUGAGUUAAGGCGCCAAACACAACGCUCAUGGGAAACCAUGAAAGGCGUUGGUUGCUUAAGACAGCAGGACGGUGGCCAUGGAAGUCGGAAUCCGCUAAGGAGUGUGUAACAACUCACCUGCCGAAGCAACUAGCUCUGAAAAUGGAUGGCGCUGAAGCGUUGGGCCUAUACUCAACCGUCAGUGAUAGAAUGAAUAAAAUAAGAAAGUGGUAGAACA